RNAcentral lists this transfer RNA (71 nucleotides) under Capra hircus (goat). It matches the Rfam family "tRNA". Rfam says of the family: Transfer RNA (tRNA) molecules are approximately 80 nucleotides in length. Their secondary structure includes four short double-helical elements and three loops (D, anti-codon, and T loops). Further hydrogen bonds mediate the characteristic L-shaped molecular structure. tRNAs have two regions of fundamental functional importance: the anti-codon, which is responsible for specific mRNA codon recognition, and the 3' end, to which the tRNAs corresponding amino acid is attached (by aminoacyl-tRNA synthetases). tRNAs cope with the degeneracy of the genetic code in two manners: having more than one tRNA (with a specific anti-codon) for a particular amino acid; and 'wobble' base-pairing, i.e. permitting non-standard base-pairing at the 3rd anti-codon position. Lineage: Eukaryota; Metazoa; Chordata; Mammalia; Artiodactyla; Bovidae. The record is from Rfam by way of RNAcentral. RNAcentral also lists the same sequence under 1 other name.
UCCCUGGUGGUCCACCAUAUAAGACUGCACUCCCAAUGCAGGGGUCUCAGGUUCGAUCCCUGUUCAGGGAA